RNAcentral lists this long non-coding RNA (1434 nucleotides) under Heterocephalus glaber (naked mole-rat). RNAcentral describes it as "lncRNA (ENSHGLG00000038282.1)". The record is from RNAcentral. Lineage: Eukaryota; Metazoa; Chordata; Mammalia; Rodentia; Bathyergidae.
GUCCUUCCACAUGGACAGCACUGCACACAUUCUUUGAGAUCCCAGGCCAGCCCAGCCUCUCUUCUGCAGCUGAAACGGAAGCCUGUCUGGACUGCAGGUGAACCUGAAGUCUGGACCUUUGGUAGGUAAAGGUGGCUGGAGAAAGGUUACCUGGCUUGUGCACCUGUGGGGAGAAGCCAGCCAGCGCUCCCCGACCUGUGUUCAAGGUAAGGCCCAGGGCAGCGGAGCCAAUGGGGGAGUGGUCCCUGCCAGCAGAUGCGCUGAGAAUGUGGUGCUCAGUGACCAGGAGGAUUGAGAGAGCAGACAGUGGUCGAGGUGACCGGAGACGCUGACAAGAAGGGCUGGCAAUCUUGAUUUCUGUCCCCUUUGUGCAUCAUUCAGUGGCCAAGAUAAAGAAAAGAAUAGGUCAUUCGUUGGAUGGCCACAAGCCCUGGGACACAUGAUCCCCUCAUUCGGAUGCACGGGGACCUUCUUGUGACCUUCGUCACAAUAUUGUGGUUCCAUGAAGGUUGCAGGGGCAGUAGAAGCUGUGUUGAUCUGCGGUGAGUGCUGAGAGUUGGGUGGCUCCACUGCUGAGUCAGGGUGGUGCCUUGGUGUCGGUAGGGGCAGAAUGGAGUUGACAGCAUCCCCUCCAUUCCAGCUAAGGGGGUUGACUGGGUUGGAAGAGAGUGCAUAGGUGAGGAACUUAGACCUGAGCACUAGGUAAGGGUCAGUUACUGUUGUCGAUCUAGGGUAAUCUGUGGUGGCCCCAGCUCCUCUCUUCUUGUGGCUAAUUUCUGCUCAUUUGUAAGACCUGGCUCAGCUGUCACCUUCCCCAAAUGGCUUUGUGCCCCUCAUCAGUGCUGCGUAAUAUGCUGGGAGCACAGUGUGAUAGCGUUUCUGUGUUGCCUUAUGCUAGUCCUUUGAUUAAGUCUACUGCCCCACCCAGUUGCCCUUCACCUGGGCCAGAGUCACAUGCAUCUGUGUAGUCUUCCACCUUUGACGGAGCUGGGCACAUGGCAAGUGCUCAGUCCAGCGGGUGAUGAUGGAGUUGCUGAGUCAUCCCAGGGCUGUCUCCAUCAGCCACCAUCCGUGCUCGGAGGCCGACACUUGGAGCUAGACAGACCAGUGUACCCUAGAAGACGUAAUUCCCUCUGCACAGGGCCUUAUAAGACAUCUCUUAGUUGCAGCGAGAGCCCAGUAUUUGGAGGUUAUCCAGUGUGUCCACCAAUAACCUGUAUAUACACAACAGGCAGUAGUUACAGUGCAGGAAGAAUUUGGCCCAAGAGACCAGGUAGAUGGAGACACGGUCAGGGGCCUUUCACCCUGUGGUUAGAAGAACUGCAGACUGCUCUUUGUCAUCACUGUCCCAUCGGUAACACUUCCUGAGUGCUUGCUGUGUGUGAGCCUGGAUUCCAGUCCAGCAGCUCUAGUGUAUGAGCAGACCAAUGUACA